RNAcentral lists this ribosomal RNA (301 nucleotides) under uncultured bacterium. RNAcentral describes it as "partial 16S ribosomal RNA". It matches the Rfam family "Bacterial small subunit ribosomal RNA", at positions 509 to 807 of the family's 1533-position model. The record is from RNAcentral.
CAGCCGCCGCGGUAAUACAGAGGGUGCGAGCGUUAAUCGGAUUUACUGGGCGUAAAGCGUGCGUAGGCGGCUUUUUAAGUCGGAUGUGAAAUCCCUGAGCUUAACUUAGGAAUUGCAUUCGAUACUGGGAAGCUAGAGUAUGGUAGAGGAUGGUAGAAUUCCAGGUGUAGCGGUGAAAUGCGUAGAGAUCUGGAGGAAUACCGAUGGCGAAGGCAGCCAUCUGGCCUAAUACUGACGCUGAGGUACGAAAGCAUGGGGAGCAAACAGGAUUAGAUACCCCUGUAGUCCCUGUCUCUUAUAC